This 505-nucleotide ribosomal RNA is filed under the name uncultured bacterium. RNAcentral describes it as "bacterial SSU rRNA". It matches the Rfam family "Bacterial small subunit ribosomal RNA", at positions 30 to 527 of the family's 1533-position model. The record is from RNAcentral.
AUUGAACGCUGGCGGAAUGCUUUGCACAUGCAAGUCGAACGGCAGCACGGGGGCAACCCUGGUGGCGAGUGGCGAACGGGUGAGUAAUACAUCGGAACGUGCCCAGUCGUGGGGGAUAACGUAGCGAAAGCUACGCUAAUACCGCAUACGAUCUACGGAUGAAAGCGGGGGAUCGCAAGACCUCGCGCGAUUGGAGCGGCCGAUGGCAGAUUAGGUAGUUGGUGGGGUAAAGGCUCACCAAGCCUUCGAUCUGUAGCUGGUCUGAGAGGACGACCAGCCACACUGGGACUGAGACACGGCCCAGACUCCUACGGGAGGCAGCAGUGGGGAAUUUUGGACAAUGGGCGAAAGCCUGAUCCAGCCAUUCCGCGUGCAGGAUGAAGGCCCUCGGGUUGUAAACUGCUUUUUGUACGGAACGAAACGGCCUUUUCUAAUACAGAGGGCUAAUGACGGUACCGUAAGAAUAAGCACCGGCUAACUACGUGCCAGCAGCCGCGGUAAAGUA